AGGCCCCUACGGGGCGCAGCAGUGGGGAAUAUUGCACAAUGGGGGGAACCCUGAUGCAGCGACGCCGCGUGGGUGAAGGAGCACCUCGGUGCGUAAAGCCCUAUCGGCAGGGAAGAAACAGACGGUACCUGACUAAGAAGCCCCGGCUAACUACGUGCCAGCAGCCGCGGGAAUACGUAGGGGGCAAGCGUUAUCCGGAUUCACUGGGUGUAAAGGGAGCGGAGACGGCGACGCAAGUCUGGAGUGAAAGCCCGGGGCCCAACCCC
RNAcentral lists this ribosomal RNA (266 nucleotides) under uncultured bacterium. RNAcentral describes it as "partial 16S ribosomal RNA". It matches the Rfam family "Bacterial small subunit ribosomal RNA", at positions 333 to 616 of the family's 1533-position model. The record is from RNAcentral.